UACGGAGGGUGCAAGCGUUAAUCGGAAUUACUGGGCGUAAAGCGUGCGUAGGCGGUUCGUUAAGUCUGUUGUGAAAGCCCCGGGCUCAACCUGGGAAUGGCAAUGGAUACUGGCGAGCUAGAGUGUGUCAGAGGAUGGUGGAAUUCCCGGUGUAGCGGUGAAAUGCGUAGAGAUCGGGAGGAACAUCAGUGGCGAAGGCGGCCAUCUGGGACAACACUGACGCUGAGGCACGAAAGCGUGGGGAGCAAACAGGG
This 254-nucleotide ribosomal RNA is filed under the name uncultured bacterium. RNAcentral describes it as "partial 16S ribosomal RNA". It matches the Rfam family "Bacterial small subunit ribosomal RNA", at positions 524 to 777 of the family's 1533-position model. The record is from RNAcentral.